Molecule: long non-coding RNA, 1271 nt
Organism: Syngnathus acus (greater pipefish)
Lineage: Eukaryota; Metazoa; Chordata; Actinopteri; Syngnathiformes; Syngnathidae
Exons: 3
Source: RefSeq, a predicted model, not a curated record
GGGAACAGUGCGUCGGGUUUCAGUAGUGAUACCCGGUCGACCGCUGAGGCCAACUGUUCUCGCCAAGUUAUCCGAGUAUCAUUAUAUGAAUACCAGCCCCCUCCUCCUCUGCCACUUGCUCCCCCCCCCUCCCUCUCUGCCGCCACCACAUCAAAACCUUUACAAGCACACACCUAAGAAGCAUUCGACGACGGCCACUGUGCAGCCAGUAAUGACAUCUCAUGCUGACCUUUGUUACUUUAUGGGGAUCAAGUGGCCAAACCGCGGGCCGGGACAGCUGCUCGGAUCUUUCAUGGAAGUCAACAAGUGGUGAUAGAGAGGCAGCGUCCAAGCAUGAGUGUGUGUUGAAGUAUCACAGCGCCCACAUAUGCAGUCAGUGUGUUCGCUUUUAGUUACUGCAUCGGCAACACACUCGGCAAUCGAGAAUUCUUGACAAAUCUUCCAACCAGAACAGUUUUGGUACUUUCCAGGGGCAAGUACAUUUCAACAUUGCGUCUACAAGACCAGCUCCUUUGGGGUCCUUCGUUUGAAAUGUGGAAAUAUCUAAGCCCAUCGAUGACCUCACCACAUUCCACCGAUCUCUGGGGUAAUGUUUUGGAACCAAGGCCCGCACCCUCCACGCACCAAGUAUCAAGAGAACUGUUUCUUCUGAUUCAGCCCGACCCGAUUGAGGGCGAGCAAUUACUCUCGAUGGGAGUUCACCGGGAGGACCGACUUGACUGGCGAUCGUAGGAUUAAUCAAGCCCACGUCACCCCCAAUAGCGCAGCUCCACAUCAAGAAACUGCAGUGAGUCAGUGAAGUGAUGCGCCGUGCAGCCCAGACAUGAAACAUCUAAACAACUGUAGGAGGGAGCAUCAAGAAAUUUGGCACAGACGUCGGCGGUGCCCCAAUGAUUAAUCCUAAUGACUCCGGGCUUGACCUCUGGCUUUGCCUCUCGGAGCGCCAGCAGGUGACAUACCCUGACAAUGAACAUCUGCUUGGAUGGACAGGCCGACAUCUUUUCUAUGAAUCCCAGAUGAUGUUUCAGAAGGCUUGGAUGAGAGCUCAGAGUUUUCUGUUUUGGGGUCAUUUUUAAGAAAUUAAAACUGGAUGGGAAGAUUUUGAUAUUUGUUGAAUUUUUUUUUAUGAAUUACAUAAAUGAAUUAAAACGCAGUAACAACACAAGCAUGACACCAGAACCAUCUUAAACAUGAUGGUGAUGUCAUUGUUGGCAUUUUAUCCAAAGCACGCAGCUGCACAGUGGAGAGAAUAAAAACAAACUCUGAUCCAA